UGGGGUGUGGUGUAGUGGCGGCACGUUGGAUUUUGAUUCCAAAAGCAUCCGUAGGUUCGAUUCCUACCACCCCAA
Molecule: transfer RNA, 75 nt
Filed under: Bacteriophage sp.
Also listed under: 1 other name
Description: tRNA-Gln
Rfam family: tRNA
About the family: Transfer RNA (tRNA) molecules are approximately 80 nucleotides in length. Their secondary structure includes four short double-helical elements and three loops (D, anti-codon, and T loops).
Source: RNAcentral